RNAcentral lists this small RNA (130 nucleotides) under Neiella litorisoli. Its description in RNAcentral is "RtT sRNA". It matches the Rfam family "RtT RNA". Rfam says of the family: This family represents a bacterial cis-regulatory element known as RtT RNA. The exact function of RtT is unknown although it is thought that it may be involved in changing the cellular response in relation to amino acid starvation. Lineage: Bacteria; Pseudomonadati; Pseudomonadota; Gammaproteobacteria; Alteromonadales; Echinimonadaceae. The record is from RNAcentral.
CCUCAAUGCAGCUUGGGAGGGUGAGAAGCCUCGUGGGUUCGAGUCGAGCGCGCAGCGCGAGACAACAUCGCCAAUGGCGAUGGCCCGAAGGGAAGGAGCGAAGCGACGCAUCAUCCCUCCCUAUGUUUAG